CGUUUUAUUGGUCAACGCUAACCAGAUUUACUACAUGUGACUAUAAUAAGAAUUGUUUUAGUUUUGUGUUGCAUGAAUUUACUGAUACGCGUAUUGGAUUUUGUGAUGAACGAAUAUAGGAAUUUUUUUUUAGAUAUUAAAAGCAAUCAAAAUAGAAGAGUUUGUGAGACAUUUCGCCAAAAAUUUAUUUGCAAAGUGAAUUUCUAACACAUCAUCUGUUCUUCAGAUGACAAAAAGUACGUUGAAAGUGAUCAAGGCCCACGUGUAUGGAGAACUAUCAAAGAGGCCUUCGAAAAGGACUGUAUGAAGAAAUCCGCGAAGUUUGCAUCGUCCGUCAUAAUCUAGAGGUGCGUGAAUGCUAACGGCGUAGGACAAUUUGCAUUCUUCGGGAACAUGUCAAUGCACAGAUAUAUCAAGACAUCUUAGAGACAUUUAUGAUACCAUCGGCAGAGGAUUUAGUUGAGGAAACAUUUCUAUUUCAACAAGACGGGGCAUUCUAUACA
Molecule: long non-coding RNA, 503 nt
Organism: Centruroides sculpturatus (bark scorpion)
Lineage: Eukaryota; Metazoa; Arthropoda; Arachnida; Scorpiones; Buthidae
Exons: 2
Source: RefSeq, a predicted model, not a curated record